This 16-nucleotide small RNA is filed under the name Arabidopsis thaliana (thale cress). Its description in RNAcentral is "ATSL105450". Lineage: Eukaryota; Viridiplantae; Streptophyta; Magnoliopsida; Brassicales; Brassicaceae. The record is from RNAcentral.
UUUUCUAUAUAGUAUU